Molecule: non-coding RNA, 1010 nt
Organism: Maylandia zebra (zebra mbuna)
Lineage: Eukaryota; Metazoa; Chordata; Actinopteri; Cichliformes; Cichlidae
Source: RefSeq, a predicted model, not a curated record
AUGUCUGUGAUCAUAUUUGUCCGUUGACUUCUGUCUGGGCCUCGAACGAUUCAUCAGACAGGUUGGCAGCCUCCAACUGAUGCUCCAGACUUUCAUCAUCGCCUCUAUUCUGAUCAACUCUUAUCUUAAACUUAGUGAUGAACUCAUUACUGGCCAGCGCGCCCUCCUUUUUAGGGCAUGUGGGCUUUGAUAACAGCCGGCUUUCCAGUCGCUCUGCAAAGAAAAUUCACAAAACAUUUCUUAUUUGGUAAGCUUGUUAACAAAUUUUAGUUCAGUUUUGCUGAAAGUUAUAGCAUGCAUCAGGUAAGAAGCAAUUGGUUUUUAAAAAGCAUAUACAUUCCCCAAAACAUUUUUAUUAUGUGCAUUCUGGAGAAUAAAAGAUUGUACACAAUUUCCCUUUUUAAAGUAAAAAGAUUAUUAAGUCUAAUUCUUACUUAUUCAGUAGAUUAAAGUAUUGAAACAUCAUUAUUCAUAAAAUAUGCACAUUACAAAAUUAAAGUUAUUCAAAAAUUACUCAAGUACUUACUCCAAUACUCACAUUAUUCAAGUAAAUUUAAUUUUUGCCAAUGUAAUGUCACAUAAAAUCUUAAUCUGAAUAAGGGAUUUGAACCCCACUGUCACGGCCAGGGGAUCAGCAGGCCGCUGACUAGUAGUGCUCUCUCUCUCGCUCUCUCGCCAGGGCGGAACUCAUGGUGGGUUCACGCCCUCGGCCCACGCCCCUCUGAAGAGGAAACACCUGGGCCUCAUCAGUGCAGCCAGCAUUUAAGCCAGGGAGUGGCUUCUACUCAUCGCUGGAUCGUUGUGUGUGACUCGCAUCCCCUGGACCCGACUCUGCAUUCCCCGAGCGGAUUCCCUUUUUGUGUGAGUGUUUGGAGAGGAGCAAGUGUCUUUUCCCUACCUGGAUUUCCCCGGAGCCUUUUCCCUGUCACCGCUUUGUAUAUAGCACUAUCCCCUGCACUGUUUGUAUAUACACCUGGUGGAACUGUAAUAAAUACUGACUGUGCCUCUGA